CCUACGGGUGGCAGCAGUGGGGAAUAUUGCACAAUGGGGGAAACCCUGAUGCAGCGACGCCGCGUGAGUGAAGAAGUCUUUCGGUAUGUAAAGCUCUAUCAGCAGGGACGAAAAUAGCCGUUACUGGACUAAGAAGCCCCGGCUACCUACGUGCCAGCAGCCGCGGUAUUACGUAGGGGGCAAGCGUGUUCCGGAUUUACUGGGGGUAAAGGGAGCGUAGACGGCGUGGCAAGUCUGAAGUGAAAGACAGGGGCUUAACCCCAGACCUGCUUUGGAAACUGCCAUGCUAGAGUGCAGGAGAGGUAAGUGGAAUUCCUAGUGUAGCGGUGAAAUGCGUAGAUAUUAGGAGGAACACCAGUGGCGAAGGCGGCUUACUGGACAGUAACUGACGUUGAGGCUCGAAAGCGUGGGGAGCAAACAGGAUUAGAUACCCCUGUAGUC
This 441-nucleotide ribosomal RNA is filed under the name uncultured bacterium. RNAcentral describes it as "partial 16S ribosomal RNA". It matches the Rfam family "Bacterial small subunit ribosomal RNA", at positions 338 to 795 of the family's 1533-position model. The record is from RNAcentral.